RNAcentral lists this ribosomal RNA (251 nucleotides) under uncultured bacterium. Its description in RNAcentral is "partial 16S ribosomal RNA". It matches the Rfam family "Bacterial small subunit ribosomal RNA", at positions 524 to 775 of the family's 1533-position model. The record is from RNAcentral.
UACGUAGGGGGCAAGCGUUAUCCGGAUUUACUGGGUGUAAGGGAGCGUAGACGGCAGCACAAGUCUGGAGUGAAAUCCCGGGGCUUAACCCCGGAACUGCUUUGGGAACUGUGCGGCUGGAGUGCAGGAGGGGUAAGCGGAAUUCCUAGUGUAGCGGUGAAAUGCGUAGAUAUUAGGAGGAACACCAGUGGCGAAGGCGGCCUGCUGGACUGUAACUGACGUUGAGGCUCGAAAGCGUGGGGAGCAAACAG